RNAcentral lists this transfer RNA (72 nucleotides) under Camelus bactrianus (Bactrian camel). It matches the Rfam family "tRNA". From Rfam's summary of the family: Transfer RNA (tRNA) molecules are approximately 80 nucleotides in length. Their secondary structure includes four short double-helical elements and three loops (D, anti-codon, and T loops). RNAcentral also lists the same sequence under 2 other names. Lineage: Eukaryota; Metazoa; Chordata; Mammalia; Artiodactyla; Camelidae. The record is from Rfam by way of RNAcentral.
GAGGGUAGAGCUCAGUGGUAGAGCACAUGCUUAGCAUGCCUGAGGUCCUGGGUUCAAUCCCCAGUCCCUCCA